This 490-nucleotide ribosomal RNA is filed under the name uncultured bacterium. RNAcentral describes it as "partial 16S ribosomal RNA". It matches the Rfam family "Bacterial small subunit ribosomal RNA", at positions 30 to 507 of the family's 1533-position model. The record is from RNAcentral.
AUUGAACGCUGGCGGCAGGCCUAACACAUGCAAGUCGAACGGUAACAGGAAGCAGCUUGCUGCUUCGCUGACGAGUGGCGGACGGGUGAGUAAUGUCUGGGAAACUGCCUGAUGGAGGGGGAUAACUACUGGAAACGGUAGCUAAUACCGCAUAACGUCGCAAGACCAAAGAGGGGGACCUUAGGGCCUCUUGCCAUAGGAUGUGCCCAGAUGGGAUUAGCUAGUAGGUGGGGUAACGGCUCACCUAGGCGACGAUCCCUAGCUGGUCUGAGAGGAUGACCAGCCACACUGGAACUGAGACACGGUCCAGACUCCUACGGGAGGCAGCAGUGGGGAAUAUUGCACAAUGGGCGCAAGCCUGAUGCAGCCAUGCCGCGUGUAUGAAGAAGGCCUUCGGGUUGUAAAGUACUUUCAGCGGGGAGGAAGGGAGUAAAGUUAAUACCUUUGCUCAUUGACGUUACCCGCAGAAGAAGCACCGGCUAACUCCGUG